RNAcentral lists this ribosomal RNA (253 nucleotides) under uncultured bacterium. Its description in RNAcentral is "partial 16S ribosomal RNA". It matches the Rfam family "Bacterial small subunit ribosomal RNA", at positions 524 to 776 of the family's 1533-position model. The record is from RNAcentral.
UACAGAGGUCUCAAGCGUUGUUCGGAUUCAUUGGGCGUAAAGGGUGCGUAGGUGGCAGGGUAAGUCGGAUGUGAAAUCCCGGGGCUCAACCUCGGAACUGCAUUCGAUACUGCUUUGCUUGAGUACUGGAGAGGAGAGUGGAAUUUACGGUGUAGCAGUGAAAUGCGUAGAUAUCGUAAGGAAGACCAGUGGCGAAGGCGGAUCUCUGGACAGUUACUGACACUGAGGCACGAAGGCCAGGGGAGCAAACGGG